This 1156-nucleotide long non-coding RNA is filed under the name Junco hyemalis (dark-eyed junco). RNAcentral describes it as "lncRNA (ENSJHYG00000004648.1)". The record is from RNAcentral. Lineage: Eukaryota; Metazoa; Chordata; Aves; Passeriformes; Passerellidae.
CCUGUCCCCAGGUGAGCUCCUGGACUCCCCGGACUGCGACCAUCAGACGCAUUUCCCACAGUUCUCCUACUCGGCCAGCAUCCGCGAGUGACACCUGGGGACACCUGGGACACCUGGGGACACCUGGGGGCACCUGGGGACAGCUUGGACACACCUGGGGACACGUGGCACACCUGUGUGCCACCUGGGGACACCCACCUGGACACACGUGGCACACCUGUGUGCCACCCACCUCAGCACCUGGGCACACCUGGCACACCUGUGUCCCACCUGUGCCCCUCCCCCACCUGUGCCAGGCACUCUGGCCCCUCCCCUGGGUCAUAUGGCCCCGCCCCCAGGCUCUAUAACCCCGCCCCCUGGUGCUCCGGCCCCGCCCCCUGGUGCUCAGCCCCGCCCCCAGGCUCUCUGGCCCCGCCCCCUCCCCUGCUGUUUUGGGGCCGUUUUUUGAGGUUUUUUGAAAAAACCUCGGUGUGGCCUUGAGCCCCCAGAGCUCCCAGUUCAAACCAGUUCAAACCAGUUCAAACCGGUCCCUCCCAGUGCCUUCAGUCCAUCCCAGUUUGUCCCAGUUCAACCCCAGUCCAUCCCAGUUCAUCCCAUUGUCCUUUCCCAGUCCCCACCCAGUUCAAUCCCAGCUCAGCCCAUUAUCCUGGCCCAGUUCAAUCCCAGUUCAAACCAGUUCAAACCAGUAUCCUAUUGUCUCCCAUCCCAGUUCAAACCAGUCCAUCCCAGUUCAAUCCCAGUCUAUCCCAGUGUCCAUUAUCUCAGCCCAGUUCAAUCCCGGUCCCUCCCAGUCCAGCCCAGUCCCUCCCAGUUCAAACCAGUUCAAUCCCAGCAUGUCCCAGUUCAAACCAGUUCAAUCCCAGUCCAUCCCAAUCCUUCCCAGCCCCUCCCAGUUUGUCCCAAUCCCCUCCCAGUCCCUCCCAGUUUAUCCCAGUUUGUCCCAGUUCAAUCCCAGUUCCCUCCCAGUUCAAUCCCAGUUUGUCCGAAUUUGUCCCAAUCCCCUCCCAGUUCCUCCCAGUUCAAUCCCAGUUUGUCCCAUUUCAAACCAGUUCAAACCAGUCCAUCCCAGUUCCCUCCCAGUUCUGGGGCCCCUCCCCCACCAGCGCUGCCUCUGAGCCCCUCCCCCCCCUCAUUUUGAGGGUGGGGGAGGGGCGGA